UUAAUCUAGAUUUAAAAGUGCCUACUGUGGAAACACGUCUGAUCUCAUCUGAAAGCUGAUUCCAGCUACAGAUUUAAAAGUGCCUACUGUUGAAACACAUCUGAUCUCAUCCGAAAGCUGAUUCCAGCUACAGAGUGAAAUGCACACGGUGAGGAAUGGACCCAGACCUUCAGUGCCAGACCUCUGACCCGUUAACCUCCAUCCUGACAGCCAGCGCCUUCUCCGGCUCCCAUUGCGGUAUCGCUUCUCUGCUUUUUGGAUAAGAUCAAGUGGACACCGGGGACUACAAGUUUAAAUGGAUUUUUGACCUUCGGAAAUGGAAGCGAGGCUUGCUCCGUCCACUCCAUUCAUCGACUCGGGCGCUUUCCGGGCACAAAUAAGUUUGCGGAGGUGACACGAUGACAACUUAAACAUCAUCGACACAGCUGAAAAAGCGAACGAGACAGAUUGGGAUGUUCAAAACACCUGACAACUUUUUUCACUGUACUACAGCUGUCGAAGAACCACAGCAACGUCAACAGACCUGGAAGCAUAGCUGUAUUUGUUUAACUCACAACGACAACGGCUGUCAAAAAAACCACAGCAACAUCGACAGACCUGGAAGCAAAGCUGUAUUUGUUUAACUUGCAAAGACAACGGGUCAAUUAUGAGUGAAGAACCGUUCACCAAAUGAAGACCACAGCCAGGUGACAGGAUUGUGUGGUUAUCACAAACAGAUUUAAAAGUGCCUACUGUUGAAACACAUCUGAUCUCAUCUGAAAGCUGAUUCCAGCUACAGCCGAAGAGGAAACACGUCCGGAAGACCAACUGAUCAGACGCCAACAAACGCUUAUCACAGACCUUUCCUCACCAGAGCGGGAAGCUGUGGAGGAGUUGUGUCCCGGCAUUAGCACCAGGCGGUACAGCGUGCCUCACAUCACCCUGGCUCCAGGCACCCGGAGACGACCGAGGCACGCAACGAGCGAGCACCCAUCUCGAUGCAGCUUCACGGACCGCGGUCUGGCGAACGGAGACGCCAUCGCCCAGCAUGAAAACGGACCAUGAGACAAACAGACCCAGUUCCGGUUGCUGUGAAGAUCAUUGCAUCACUGAUCCACUGGCUGUCCUUCAACGUGAUGACCAGACGAUGCCCGACCAACGACCACCGGCUAAACCAGUUUAAUUCGCUUACCCGCCUCCUAUCCCUACCGUUUCUAUAUAUAUAUAAAUAUAUAUUAAUUCCUCCCAAGGGUUUUUGUCCUUCUAGGACUUUUUCCCAUUGGGUUUUUUUUCCUAGAGGGUUUUUAAUCCCAGGGAGAGUCAGCCAACUUUGGCUUAACUUAGCACUUUACAGUAUACGUUACAUUAUUAAUAUGCUCGCUUGUACGGUUUAACCGCUUUCUCUACUUCUUAUAUUAUCUAUUGAUUUUCUGUGUUCUCCUCUACAUCUUCUCAUGUAAAGCUGCUUUGCAACAAUUAUCACUUGUGAAAAGCGCUAUAUAAAUAAAAUUGAAUUGAAUUGAAUUGAAUCUCUUCUGAAAGCUGAUUCCAGCUACAGGUUCAUACUGUUGUAUUCUUUUAUACUGUUUCAUUCGUACUGUUUUAAAUCAUUCAGUAAAUGCAAAGUUAAACCGAUGUGUUUUUCAUCUAGAUUUAAAAGUGCCUACUGUUGAAACACAU
Non-coding RNA from Misgurnus anguillicaudatus (oriental weatherfish), 1659 nucleotides. NCBI's taxonomy places the organism in Eukaryota, Metazoa, Chordata, Actinopteri, Cypriniformes, Cobitidae. The record is from RefSeq and is a predicted model, not a curated record.